AUUGAACGCUGGCGGCAUGCCUAACACAUGCAAGUCGAACGGAAGUAAAGGGGCAACCUUUUACUUUAGUGGCGGACGGGUGCGGAAUGCGUAGGAAUCUACCCUAAAGUGGGGGAUAACUCGGGGAAACUCGAGCUAAUACCGCAUAUGCUCUACGGAGUAAAGGGGGCGCAAGCUCUCGCUAUAGGAUGAGCCUACGUCGGGAAUUAGCUAGUUGGUGGGGUAACGGCUCACCAAGGCAACGAUCCGUAGCUGGUCUGAGAGGAUGACCAGCCACACUGGGACUGAGAUACGGCCCAGAAUCCUACGGGAGGCAGCAUUGGGGAAUAUUGGACAAUGGGCGAAAGCCUGAUCCAGCAAUGCCGCGUGUGUGAAGAAGGCCUUCGGGUUGUAAAGCACUCUCAGUGGGGAAGAAAAACUUAGGGUUAAUACCCCUAAGCAUUGACGUUACCCACAGAAGAAGCACCGGCUAACUCUGUGCCAGCAGCCGCCGUAA
RNAcentral lists this ribosomal RNA (496 nucleotides) under uncultured bacterium. Its description in RNAcentral is "partial 16S ribosomal RNA". It matches the Rfam family "Bacterial small subunit ribosomal RNA", at positions 30 to 523 of the family's 1533-position model. The record is from RNAcentral.